RNAcentral lists this ribosomal RNA (496 nucleotides) under uncultured bacterium. RNAcentral's name for it is "bacterial SSU rRNA". It matches the Rfam family "Bacterial small subunit ribosomal RNA", at positions 27 to 509 of the family's 1533-position model. The record is from RNAcentral.
GGAUGAACGCUAGCUACAGGCUUAACACAUGCAAGUCGAGGGGUAACGGACAGCGAAAGCUUGCUUUUGCUGGGCGACGACCGGCGCACGGGUGAGUAACGCGUAUCCAACCUGCCCAUAACUAAGGGAUAAUCCGUAGAAAUGCGGUCUAAUACCUUAUGUGUUCCGACGAAGACAUCUGAAUUGGAAUAAAGAUUUAUCGGUUAUGGAUGGGGAUGCGUCUGAUUAGAUUGUUGGCGGGGCAAUGGCCCACCAAGUCUACGAUCAGUAGGGGUUCUGAGAGGAAGGUCCCCCACAUUGGAACUGAGACACGGUCCAAACUCCUACGGGAGGCAGCAGUGAGGAAUAUUGGUCAAUGGGCGAGAGCCUGAACCAGCCAAGUAGCGUGCAGGAUGACGGCCCUAUGGGUUGUAAACUGCUUUUGUACGAGGAUAAAGUGAGCUACGUGUAGUUCAUUGCAGGUAUCGUACGAAUAAGGACCGGCUAAUUCCGUGCC